GGUGGGAGGGUCCCACCGAGCACCCUGUCGGCUGGCAGCCCCGGCCCAGGUAGUGGGUGCUCUGCCACA
MicroRNA precursor from Bison bison bison, 69 nucleotides. NCBI's taxonomy places the organism in Eukaryota, Metazoa, Chordata, Mammalia, Artiodactyla, Bovidae. The record is from Ensembl.